CCCUUAGAUGUUCUGGGCCGCACGCGCGCUACACUGAUGCAUUCAACAAGUUCUACCUUGGCCGAGAGGCCUGGGAAAUCUUUCAAAUAUGUAUCGUGAUAGGGAUAGAUUAUUGCAAUUAUUAAUCUUGAACGAGGAAUUCCUAGUAAAUGCAGAUCAUCAUUCUGCGUUGAUUACGUCCCUGCCCUUUGUACACACCGCCCGUCGCGCCUACCGAUUGAAUGAUCCGGUGAAGCCUCGGGAUUGUGCCCAGAGAACUUUAUUGUGAUUUGGGUGUGAGAACUUGUCUAAACCUUAUCAUUUAGAGGAAGGUGAAGUCGUAACA
RNAcentral lists this ribosomal RNA (325 nucleotides) under uncultured eukaryote. RNAcentral describes it as "partial 18S ribosomal RNA". It matches the Rfam family "Eukaryotic small subunit ribosomal RNA", at positions 1470 to 1796 of the family's 1831-position model. The record is from RNAcentral.